UGAGUAACCUGCCCUUCACUCUGGGAUAACUCCGGGAAACCGGGGCUAAUACUGGAUAUGACUCGAACAGGCAUCUGUUUCGGGUGGAAAGAUUUAUUGGUGGAGGAUGGACUCGCGGCCUAUCAGCUUGUUGGUGAAGUAAUGGCUCACCAAGGCGACGACGGGUAGCUGGUCUGAGAGGAUGGCCAGCCACAUUGGGGCUGAGACACGGCCCAGACUCCUACGGGAGCA
RNAcentral lists this ribosomal RNA (231 nucleotides) under uncultured bacterium. Its description in RNAcentral is "partial 16S ribosomal RNA". It matches the Rfam family "Bacterial small subunit ribosomal RNA", at positions 118 to 347 of the family's 1533-position model. The record is from RNAcentral.